Long non-coding RNA from Hyla sarda, 477 nucleotides. RefSeq lists it as uncharacterized. The record is from RefSeq and is a predicted model, not a curated record. NCBI's taxonomy places the organism in Eukaryota, Metazoa, Chordata, Amphibia, Anura, Hylidae. The transcript has 3 exons.
AUGAGGUAUAGGGCGGUAUGUAUGAGGUAAAGGGCCGUGUGUAUGAGGUAUAAUGAGGUAUAGGGCGGUAUGUAUGAGGUAUAAUGAGGUAUAGGGCGGUAUGUAUGAGGUAUAAUGAGGUAUAGGGCUGUAUGUGUGUGAGGUAUAGGGCGGUAUGUAUGAGGUAUAAUGAGGUAAAGGGCCAUGUGUGUGAGGUGAGGUAAAAGGCGGUAUAUAUGAGGUAUAGGGCCAUGUAUGAGGUAUAUGACUGUAUGUGUGAGGUAAAGAGCUGUAUAAGGUAAAGGGCGGUAUGUAUGAGGUACUGUAUAUGACUGUAUGUGUGAGGUAUAGGGCUGUAUAAGGUAAAGGGCGGUAUGUAUGAGGUAUAUGACUGUAUGUGUGAGGUAUAGGUCUGUAUAUGUGAGGUGUAGGGAUGUAUGUAUGAGGUAUAUGACUGUAUGUGUGAGGUAUAAGGCUGUAUAAGGUAAAGGGCGGUAU